GACGAAUGCUGGCGGCGUGCUUAACACAUGCAAGUCGAACGAUGAAGAAGAGAAACGCGAACUUCGGUUCAAAUUUCACUUCGGAUUAGUGGCAGACGGGUGAGUAACGCGUGAGCAACCUACCUCUUACAAAGGGAUAGCCUCGGGAAACCGUGAUUAAUACCAUAUGACACAUUCAUAAGGCAUCUUAAGAAUGUUAAAGCUACGGCGGUAAGAGAUGGGCUCGCGUCCCAUUAGCUAGUUGGUGAGGUAACGGCCCACCAAGGCGACGAUGGGUAACCGGCCUGAGAGGGUGAACGGUCACAUUGGAACUGAGACACGGUCCAAACUCCUACGGGAAGCAGCAGUGGGGAAUAUUGCACAAUGGAGGGAACUCUGAUGCAGCGACGCCGCGUGAGCGAUGAAGGAAUUCGUUUCGUAAAGCUCUGUUCUAUGGGAAGAAAAGGACUGUACCAUAGGAGAAAGCCUCGGCUAAAUACGUG
This 482-nucleotide ribosomal RNA is filed under the name uncultured bacterium. RNAcentral's name for it is "partial 16S ribosomal RNA". It matches the Rfam family "Bacterial small subunit ribosomal RNA", at positions 28 to 507 of the family's 1533-position model. The record is from RNAcentral.